CCUACGGGAGGCAGCAGUGGGGAAUAUUGCACAAUGGGGGGAACCCUGAUGCAGCAACGCCGCGUGAAGGAAGAAGGCUUUCGGGUUGUAAACUUCUAUCAAUAGGGACGAAAAGAAUGACGGUACCUAAAUAAGAAGCCCCGGCUAACUACGUGCCAGCAGCCGCGGUAAUACGUAGGGGGCAAGCGUUAUCCGGAAUUACUGGGUGUAAAGGGAGCGUAGGCGGCAUGGUAAGCCAGAUGUGAAAGCCCGCGGCUUAACCGCGCGGAUUGCAUUUGGAACUAUCAAGCUAGAGUACAGGAGAGGAAAGCGGAAUUCCUAGUGUAGCGGUGAAAUGCGUAGAUAUUAGGAAGAACACCAGUGGCGAAGGCGGCUUUCUGGACUGAAACUGACGCUGAGGCUCGAAAGCGUGGGGAGCAAACAGGAUUAGAUACCCGG
Molecule: ribosomal RNA, 438 nt
Filed under: uncultured bacterium
Lineage: Bacteria
Description: bacterial SSU rRNA
Rfam family: Bacterial small subunit ribosomal RNA
Source: RNAcentral